UUAAGUUCAGCGGGUAGUCCUGCCUGAUUUGAGAUCAAACGUUCAAAGAGCUGUCCCUCACAGAGGAGAGACACCUUUAUGAGCUCCAGCGAACCUCCAUCACUGAAGGUUAUCUGAUGUAAAACCACAAGCGUAGAUAGUUAUCACACCUGUGAUGCCACCAAACACUGGCAAGCUGAUUCAUUUAAGGGGAGCUGACU
Molecule: unclassified non-coding RNA, 200 nt
Filed under: Tomentella sp.
Lineage: Eukaryota; Fungi; Basidiomycota; Agaricomycetes; Thelephorales; Thelephoraceae
Description: partial internal transcribed spacer 2
Source: RNAcentral